UACGAAGGGGGCUAGCGUUGUUCGGAAUUACUGGGCGUAAAGCGCGCGCAGGCGGUUCUCCAAGUCAGUGGUGAAAGCCCGGAGCUCAACUCCGGAAUUGCCAUUGAAACUGUUGAACUCGAGGACGAGAGAGGUGAGUGGAAUUCCGAGUGUAGAGGUGAAAUUCGUAGAUAUUCGGAAGAACACCAGUGGCGAAGGCGACUCACUGGACACAUAUUGACGCUGAGGUGCGAAAGCGUGGGGAGCAAACAGG
Molecule: ribosomal RNA, 253 nt
Filed under: uncultured bacterium
Lineage: Bacteria
Description: partial 16S ribosomal RNA
Rfam family: Bacterial small subunit ribosomal RNA
Source: RNAcentral